RNAcentral lists this unclassified non-coding RNA (353 nucleotides) under soil metagenome. RNAcentral's name for it is "partial contains 5.8S ribosomal RNA, internal transcribed spacer 2, and large subunit ribosomal RNA". The stretch from base 1 to 120 matches the Rfam family "5.8S ribosomal RNA", at positions 35 to 154 of the family's 154-position model. The record is from RNAcentral.
GAUGAAGAACGCAGCGAAAUGCGAUAAGUAAUGUGAAUUGCAGAAUUCCGUGAAUCAUCGAAUCUUUGAACGCACAUUGCGCCCCCUGGCAUUCCGGGGGGCAUGCCUGUCCGAGCGUCAUUUCUGCCCUCCAGCCCGGCUGGGUGUUGGGCGCUGUCCCCCCGGGGACACGCCCCAAAGGCAGUGGCGGCGCCGCGUCGGGUCCUCGAGCGUAUGGGGCUUUGUCACCCGCUCGGGACGGACUCGUCGGCGCUGGUCUUCCUCCAGGCGACCCUUCGGGGCUCGUCUUCCUUCGGUUGACCUCGGAGCAGGUAGGGUUACCCGCUGAACUUAAGCAUAUCAUAAGCGGAGGA